UGGGCUCCCUUUUUUUCCCAGCCUAUACAUCU
This 32-nucleotide non-coding RNA is filed under the name Mus musculus (house mouse). Lineage: Eukaryota; Metazoa; Chordata; Mammalia; Rodentia; Muridae. The record is from RNAcentral.